UUUUUAGUAUAAGUAUGUUUCAUGCAAUAUUUUGGACAUACUUAUACUAAAA
This is a non-coding RNA of Myotis lucifugus (little brown bat), 52 nucleotides long. The record is from Rfam. NCBI's taxonomy places the organism in Eukaryota, Metazoa, Chordata, Mammalia, Chiroptera, Vespertilionidae.